RNAcentral lists this unclassified non-coding RNA (1308 nucleotides) under Hevea brasiliensis (rubber tree). Lineage: Eukaryota; Viridiplantae; Streptophyta; Magnoliopsida; Malpighiales; Euphorbiaceae. The record is from RNAcentral.
UCAUAUCAAAAAAAUAACAAUAAAUUCACUUGCUCAUUUUACAUGCUAAGAUGUAGAUUCAUAAAAGGCAACCAACCAAACAGCAGACAUUCAGCAAACAUCAUUUAGAAUGAACAAAAAAAAAAAAAGUUUUACAUUUUUCUUGCUGAUGAGUUUUCGAUAUUUAAUCGACUGAAAUAGGUUGCAUAUUCUCAGCUUCUUUCCUCAGAUCUUGAUACAACACAGAUGAUAAGUAUCGCUCACCAAAACUUGCAUGUACAGUCACUAUGAGUUUGCCUUUGUUUUCUGGUUUUUGAGCUAGUCUAAGAGCUGCUACUGUAUUAGCUCCCGACGAUAUCCCAACCAUGAGUCCUUCCUUCACUGCCAACUCCCUAGCCAUGUUUACAGCGUCUUCGCUAGAAACCAUUAGUACUUCCUCCAUUAGAUCCAUAUCAAGGAUAUCUGGCUUGAACCCGACCCCAUUUCCCGUUAUAUGAUGAGGACCUGGUUUUCCACCAUUCAGUAUAUUGCUUUCAGUUGGCUCAAGUCCAUAUAUCUUGACAUUAGGAUUUUUGGAUUUAAGAUAUUGUCCAACACCAGUAACAGUGCCUCCACUUCCUAUUCCCAUAACAAAUAUAUCAACAUUACCUAGACUUUCUUCCCAUAUUUCAGGGCCAGUUGUGUCAAAAUGAACCUGAGUGUUUGCGGGGUUGGAAAAUUGUUGAAGCAUGAAAGCAUUAGGUGUCGAUUCCAAAAGAUCAUAAGCCUUCUUAACAGUGCCUCCCAUUCCUUUGGUUGGAUCGGUGAGGAUUAAGUCGGCUCCAAAUGCUCUCAUUGUCACUCUCCUCUCCAUGCUCGUGUACGAUGGCAUAGUCAAAACCAUUUUGUAGCCUUUCAUUGCUGCCAUAAAUGCCAUACUGAUCCCCAUAUUUCCUGAUGUUGGCUCAAUCAACGUCGUCUUUUCAGGUGAUAUUAAGCCUUUUUUUUCUGCAUCAUUGAUCAUUGCCAAUGCUGGUCUGUCUUUGAUGCUAGAAGUAGGCUGAAACAUCUCCUGUUUCACAGCUAUAUAGGCUCCACAUCCUUCUGUCACUUUUUUAAGAUAAACCAUUGGUGUUUUCCCAAUUAAUUGAGAAACUUCAGACUUGAUGUUAGUAUGAGGAAGUUGUGUAGAGAACAAUCUGUUGCUAGCUGCUCUCAUCAAAUCAACAUUAUUAUAAUCUAAUGAUCUUUUCUUCAAGAAUCUGCUUAAACUUGCCAUUGAUGAAUUCUUCAAAAUUAUUGCACUUUAAAUUUUACACAAAAAAAGGUACUCUCUAUGCAAUUGACCUU